AUUAUAGAUUAUAUUAUAUUAUAAGAGAACAUUUUAUGGCCGUUUUUCUAAUAAAACUACAGUGUAAAUUUGUAUUAUAAUUAUCAAUUACAUAAAGUGAUGAAAAAAAACACCCUAGCACGAGCAGUUGAUAUGUUGCGCUGGCGUAGCAAUCAAAGUAUAUAUUAUUGUCCGGCCGAAAAACGUUACGACGGAAGAGAUAAUCGGCAAGCGGCAGGCGAAUUUUAAAAACGUGUUAUGGUUGGUUCAUUUAAAUAGCUGCCACCCCACUACCACAAUACAUGCAUUCUUAUCAUAGACCUUAUAUUAAUAGACGGCAAGUUUUAUAGAUUAUACAGGUUGCCUCAUAGUCUCCUAAAUAUUUCGAUCACCCCGUACCAUUCCUUGUCUACUGAUAUCACCAGAAGUAUAAAAUUUGCAGCGGCGUAUUAAAAAUGCAUAUGAACAGUAGGUGCAUUACUACAUUACAGAUGAAUCCAAAGCCGUAUCUGUGGAGGGGUCUACGGGGUUCGGAUUCCCCCCGAAUAAAUAUCCACAAAUAUACAUGAAGCAAUUUAAUUCAAAUAACUUAAGAGGUCGAUAAUAUUUGGAAUCUAUUGUGGACCUACCAAGGAUUCCCAAACAGAUGGUCUCCUGCAGGACUUCACCGAUCAUAAGCAAUACCAUCCUCAGCGUGACAACGGCCGCGAACCACCAGAAUUGCAACGAAGCAAAGGUUUCGGCGUCGGACAUCUCACCAGUCGACGAAGUGGC
Long non-coding RNA from Rhopalosiphum maidis (corn leaf aphid), 753 nucleotides. RefSeq lists it as uncharacterized. Lineage: Eukaryota; Metazoa; Arthropoda; Insecta; Hemiptera; Aphididae. The record is from RefSeq and is a predicted model, not a curated record. The transcript is spliced from 3 exons.